UAGUCAAUGCUCGCAAGAGUGAACUAGCUAACUGAAAUCAAAGAGUUAAAUUUAACUCAUGAUGUCGUAAGGGAAAAUAAUGAUAAUACCUUACUAUUAGUGUCGUCCAAAUCUGGUGCCAGAAGACUCGGUAAGACCAGAGACGCAAACGUUAAUCAUCAUAAUCAGGCGUAAAGGGUUUGUAGGCAGCCUCCAUCCCCUCAAAUCCCCGUCCCCCUCCCGCACUCUACUCCGUCCCCGUCCCUCCCCGCUCGGCCCGUGUCCGCCCCGCCUUAAAUCCUUAAGGCGGUGCGGACCGGGUGCGGCGGUGCGGGGCUGGGCGGGUCUGGGCCGGGCCAGGGGGAAAGAACGGAGUCUUUGAGGGAGCCGGAAAGCUAGAAUCAAAAAGAGGUUAUAGUGUAUAACGCCUAGAGGAGGGCUGAUAUCCAUAGAUUCUAGGCAGAAUACUCAGGGCGAAGGCCACUCUCCACUAAGAUUGACGCUGAGAAACGAAGGUUAGGAUAGGAAAUAGGAUUAGAUACCCCGGUACUCCUUUCUGUAAACGAUGAAUGGUAGUCAUUAGUUUUUUAACUAGAGACGAAGUUAACACAAUAACCAUUCCGCCUUGUGAGUACUACUGCAAAGUAGAAAACAAAAAAAUUAGUCGGUCUCGAAGCAAACGGAGUGAAGCAUGUUAUUUAAU
Molecule: ribosomal RNA, 682 nt
Filed under: Favolus acervatus
Lineage: Eukaryota; Fungi; Basidiomycota; Agaricomycetes; Polyporales; Polyporaceae
Description: partial small subunit ribosomal RNA
Rfam family: Bacterial small subunit ribosomal RNA
Source: RNAcentral